CUAUGUGCCUAUGUGUCUCCCUGGAUGACUGGCCAUCUGGAUGUUCAGCCAUAGGACACCUCUAGCAUGAGGAUAACAUGUGUGGUGCAAAAGAGAGAUUCGCACCCAGUGAGUACGUUACAAACCACUUGAAAUCAGAGAGCAGAUCAAGUAGAUUUAGUUGUAGAUGAUGACAGCUCUCAGUAAGCAUGCACUUAACAAGCACUUGCCAUGUCCAAGCAGAGCUGUAUGAUUUACUUUUGAGAAUUUUAAGUCAAAUCUGAAAUUGGAAUGUACUUGCACUAACCAUAUAGAUCUUGAUGCAUAAACAGAGAUACAAAUUACUAUACGAUUUCAAAGGUCACGAAUUGCAGAAUUAACUAAUAGUUACUCACACAGCAAUAGAAUUUCCAUUUAGUGAAAACAACAGUUUCCAGAAGGUGAAAUAUCAGAAAUCACCGCUACAAUUUCUUUCGAUUCGGGAUUGAUAUCUUUGCACUACCUCGAGAAGGGUUCCGUUCAGUGAUUUGGGGGCAUUCAGGUGGCUUUCAGGUGGUACUGCGAUUGGAUUACAAUGUUAUCAAGUCCAGGAGGGAGAUUGUAGCACCAUUACUAUAUAAUAUAAUUUGUCGGUUUUGAAGGAGGGGUUAUCUGGGAAAGGUUAAUAGAGGUGUCAUACAUGGAAACCAAGAACCCGACAAUGGUCCCAUCGGAGCGACGGAGUCUUAAGGGUUGACCACCUGCACCUUCUUCUUCACAGAUUUUGCCCCAUCUCAGACUUGCGCUUUGCCCCCUAUCCUCGCACAACACAUCACAACACAAGGUAAUCGCAGUCUUGUUCCAGGUGUACAAAGGACUAAAAUGAUCAACACAACCCAAGAUACGGUCAUGUGCAAGAAGAUGGUCACAUGCAUUAAACAAUCUAAAUCAUUAUAUCGUUGAGUUGGACAAUUCUGUUCAAUGAAAAUAUAUGCUUUCAAAGAGUGCAUCAUCUGUAAACGUGUGUAACCACGCAUCCAAGAAAAAUAUCUUGAUUCUAAAGAACAAAGCACAAACAGAGUUAUUUGAGAGGUUGAGGGAAGUUAUCGUGGCAUGUUCAUUGCAUCCAUGAUCGCAUCGUAGCAGAUCCCAUGCAAAGCCAGCUGCUCGAGGCUCGCCACAGCCACUUCCAGUCUGAAUGGAAACGUAACCAACUAACGACAAGCAAUACGCUCGAUCAUCUUCUGUUAAUGAAACAAAGGUGACUUAACUAAUGAAUGUGAAGGACGACAGGAAACCAGGAACGCAGAGCACUGACAAGAGGACAGGACAAUUGCUGCAAUUCCAAGGA
This 1309-nucleotide long non-coding RNA is filed under the name Physcomitrium patens. Its description in RNAcentral is "long non-coding RNA (PPAT_LNC008598)". The record is from RNAcentral. Lineage: Eukaryota; Viridiplantae; Streptophyta; Bryopsida; Funariales; Funariaceae.